UGGACAGGAGAUUGAGGGAUGCUGUAAGAGAACUCUUAACUGAUUCUUAAAACAAGGUACACUGCGUUAUCUUUAAUGUUAUGUGUGUCACAUUUGUUGUCUUUCUUGCAACAAAGACAUGACUCACAGAUACUUUAAAAUAACUAUAGGCUUGUAUUUACCAAACUGGUAAAUGUGAAAUUGUAGAAGUUCCUAAAGACAGUGAGCAAAAGUAGGUAAAGAACUGCAAUUGUGUUUACCUUAUGCCCUAAUGUGGAUGCAGAAACAGGACGUGAGACUGAACAGGUGCCAUCUGUAUCGCCUGUUGGAGACCAGCUUGGGACUCAGAUUACCUUGGGAGAAAAGGUGGUGAUUCGGAAAGAGGCCUGGGUCCGUCGGGACUCACUGUUUGGUAAAGAAUUGGCAGUGGCAAUCUGGGGCUCUAAAACCCUGGGGGAAACGAGCCUUACAGGAAAGGAGUGCCCCACCACCAAAACUACCCGGCAGCCAUUAACCCCAAAGAAGCUACAAACUUUGAGAGUCUGCUUCAAGGAGUGGCUCCAGCAAAGAAACCUGGAAGAGACGGAGUUGCAGGCCAGAUGGUCAAAGGCUGGACGAUAUAUAACGGAAAAAAUUAUGGAUAUAAACAAACAAAAAAAAAAGGGAUGUUUUCUAAUUUAACUUGCAAUUGGAAGUUAUUUUCGAAUAGUUGAUUUGGUUGCUCUUUUUGAAUGUGUGGAUAUUGUAACAAUGCUCUUUAUUACGUGUCUGUCCCAUUCAGUAAAUUAAAAUAUUGAACUGACUGACCGACUCUUUUUGGUAGAUGCUAGCAUACAAAAGACAAUGGAGUAAUGUAAUGAUCUAACAUGCACUGUUUUUAUAAUAUCAACAUUGAACUUGUCCGGCAUACAAACCUGAUGAGAAAAUGCAAUCCUCAGCAUUUAGUCCUAUUAAACAGCACCAGCAUCAUUCAUGCUGGUCACCAGCAUACCAGCAUCAUUCAUGCUGGUGACCAGCAUACCAGCACCAGCAUCAUGGCGCCAAUUCGUAAUUUCGCUGGGAUGAGAGAAGUGCGUUGGUCACUGCUGCUGCACAAGAGGUAAGAAUGAAAUUCUUUUGACAUUAUCAUAAUAAUGGAAGGUGGGGAUUAGGUAAUUAGGUGUCUGUCCAACAAGUAAUUGACAAAUAAACUCCGACCUGUAUUCAGACUGUCGAAAAUGGGAUGGUUGGCCAAGUUAACGGCUAAUGGCUAACGUUAGCUAACGACUAAUGUUAACAUUAGCUAAUGGUUAAUGUUAACGUUAGCUAACGGAUAAUGUUAGCUAACGGCUAAUGUUAGGUUCUACGUUGCAUAUCAAACUAGGGGUCCUUAAAAUGAAAACAGUUUGAGAACUGGCGAUCAGUGGAUCUUAAUUGGGGAAGCUGAGCUCAUAUUAAUGACCGGACUGGUGAUUGUAGCAAUAGGAGUAGACUCCUAAUCACCGGAUGCCCGCGGGACCAAACAGAGCGCAGGGACCGGUAUAAACAAACCACAGUAGUCUCCUCCCCCCUAUCGCCCUCUUGGCCAGGUGACGGAACUGUGUCAGUCUUCCGCGUCAUUCACCCUGCAUGGUUGUUCGGCGCUGUUACAGGUAAGGUGGUGAACUGGCUGUCUCCGCGCACUUUAUCUCGCUACUGCCGUCAGCUGCCUUUUAUAUCUCGUAUGUGAUCCCCAUAGAUCCCCGGCUGUCGGAGCCGCGUAGCUCCCUAACACAGAGCGACCGCCACGAAGCUCGCCGAGCGGCGUGAUCGCCCGAGCUGUCUCCUUCACGGCGACGACAGUAACUUGUUCAAUUGGGACUGGGCGGUCGUACCGGAGGAUCUUGGCCACCGUUAGCAGUCCAACUAGCUGCUGUUUUGCCUAUACGCCUUCUACCUCGGUUUGCGUACAUGUGUUUUUUUGGACUGCGUUGCCACAAUUGUUUUGGGCCGGACCGCCUACACCGUUGUGCUCGGACGGCUUUACCCGGAGGAACAAUUUUAGCGUGACGUUCGAUCUUUCCCUUCCCCGUGACUUAUUGGGUCGACGGAGUUAUCUUGUUUUCUUUAUUGUUUAGUUUGUUCUGUAUUUUUGUUUCUUUAUACCCGGGUGAGUGAACCCGGUUGUAUGUACACGUGUUUAACGUUUUGUUGUUUCUUUAUUCUUUUUAGAGCUGAACGCCGAAGGUGGUGGUGUGGUGUCCCGGUGGUGGUGUCCCUUUGCUUGUUUGCUGUGGUCUUUCGUUUUCAUUUGUUUUGCUGUGCUCACUAUUUUGAAACCUCCCCCGCUGCCCUCGUGUCGCCUCCACAACCACUGGUAAGCGUUCAUCAUUUUGUUUAUUAUUUUGACCAUUAUAACCCCCAUUAAUUCCCCUUUUGUUGUGGAAAUUGUGAGCGUGUUUUAAAUUGUUUUAUGGAUCCUCGUAUUUUAUUGUAAUAAACUUAUAACCCCUUUUUGUACAUUGAA
Gasterosteus aculeatus aculeatus (three-spined stickleback) is the source of this 2464-nucleotide non-coding RNA. Lineage: Eukaryota; Metazoa; Chordata; Actinopteri; Perciformes; Gasterosteidae. The record is from RefSeq and is a predicted model, not a curated record.